AACGAACGCUGGCGGCAGGCUUAACACAUGCAAGUCGAGCGCCCUGCAAGGGGAGCGGCAGACGGGUGAGUAACGCGUGGGAAUCUACCCAUCUCUACGGAACAACUCCGGGAAACUGGAGCUAAUACCGUAUACGUCCUCCGGGAGAAAGAUUUAUCGGGGAUGGAUGAGCCCGCGUUGGAUUAGCUAGUUGGCGGGGUAACGGCCCACCAAGGCGACGAUCCAUAGCUGGUCUGAGAGGAUGAUCAGCCACAUUGGGACUGAGACACGGCCCAAACUCCUACGGGAGGCAGCAGUGGGGAAUAUUGGACAAUGGGCGCAAGCCUGAUCCAGCCAUGCCGCGUGAGUGAUGAAGGUCUUAGGAUUGUAAAGCUCUUUCGCCGGGGACGAUAAUGACGGUACCCGGAGAAGAAGCCCCGGCUAACUUCGUGCCAGCAGCCGCCGUAAAC
This 449-nucleotide ribosomal RNA is filed under the name uncultured bacterium. RNAcentral's name for it is "bacterial SSU rRNA". It matches the Rfam family "Bacterial small subunit ribosomal RNA", at positions 29 to 525 of the family's 1533-position model. The record is from RNAcentral.